Long non-coding RNA from Aegilops tauschii subsp. strangulata, 1834 nucleotides. RefSeq lists it as uncharacterized. The record is from RefSeq and is a predicted model, not a curated record. Lineage: Eukaryota; Viridiplantae; Streptophyta; Magnoliopsida; Poales; Poaceae.
UGGAUCGGGUCAACCCACCCUGACCCCGGGUACCAUCGUGGCCACCUUCCCCCGCCGGCCGCGCCGCCAACUACCACCUUCCCCCGCCGGCCGCGCCUCCGGCCACCUUGCCCCGGCGGCCAUGCCUCCGGCCACCUUGACCCGGCGGCCACGCCUCCGGCCACCUCCCCCCUGCAGCCAUGCCUCCGGUCACCUUGCCCCCGGCGGCCGCGCCUCCGGCCACCUUGCCCCGGCGGCCACGCCUCCGGCCACCUCCCCCCUGCGGCCGUGCCUCUACUCACCUCUCCCCCGACCAACGCGCCUCCGGUCACCUCCCCCCGCCGCUGCCGCGAUUUCAGCCACCUCCUUCCCUAAUCCCCAGCGCGCCUUCGAUCCUGCCGUCCCCGGCGCCCAAACACGCCACCUACCUGAGCCAUGCCCCCGCUUCCUCCUAUCAGUCUCGGUGACGCUCGCGCCCUCUCCCCGCACCUAGCCUCCUGCCGGUGAAGAGUAGCGGCCUAGCCCGGCGCGAGGCACUCGAGGCCCAGCACGUGGCCUGAAUCUCGCGCGUCGACCAUCUCCGAGGGAGGCGCCGCGACCACUGUCUCCUACCUGCUACAGCAUGACGUGCCUCGCGCAGCCCUCUGAGCUCGAGUCCCGUCACCGACCGUCCGCUCUUGGCUUCGCUCACCUGUCCGUGCUUGACGGAAUCGAGCUUUUCCAUGGUUUUGCCGUCCAACUUCUAGCUCCGCCUCCGGUCGCUCAAUGAAUCACGUGCAGGCCACCCCCGUGCUCCGCCCCUAUAUUCGGUUCGGCUGUUAGCUCCUGUUCCAGCUGACUGUACUUGUUCUGAUGCUCUAAGUGACCUUAUGCAUGCAGCUGAGUUGGACUGCCUCCUAUUCAAAUUCUUGCAACUUUCAAUUAUGUUUUGUUCGAAAGCUACUUACUGUAAAGUAGUAUAUGUGCUAGCAUUUCAGUAUAGCUUCCAAAAAAAUGUGGUUCAAAUUCUCAAUUUGUUUAGAAGAAGAUAGGACAGGAAAACUUGAAUGGAAAGCUCAUAUGAGUGUGGAUGGUUUGAGUAAAUUGGUGACUGGUGGAGAUCAUUCAUGUUGAUUAUUUUUGACAAUAAUGAUAGGUCCACUAGAGAAUUUAUGGAUAACUUUGUAAGUACAGAGAUAAUCUUUAUAUGGACACUUGGACUAUAAACAUUUGCUAUAGUUCACCUUCAAUAACUUUGUAAGUACAGAGAUAUCACCUAAAUGUAAUAUGUAACUAUGUAUUGCAAUCUGAGCAAUGGGUGUGUAUAUUGUAGUCUCUGCAUGCACAGUCGAGAUGUGUUCAGCCCAACCCCAUGGCAUCAGGGAGGUCGAGUUCGUCACGAGCAGCAGCACAUGGUUGUUGGCUUCAACUUUCUUCCACCAAGGUGCUUUCACUCGGUGAUGCAAGGAUUGUAAUCUUCUCCCUCGAAGUACCUCAUCUAUCAUUCCUUGUAGAUGGAGAUGUGUGUAUGUAUACAUGUGUUAUGGAGAGAGAAGAACUUAUCUAGUGGUGUGUGUGUGUGUGUUGCUGCAUCCUCGUCUGGCCGCUCUAAUCCACACUCUCAGUACAACUUCUCUACGACCUCAUGUUCACAAAUCUUGUAGUACAUUUUUUCUAUAAAAAUCUUGUAGUACUGUGUAAAGCAAGCGUGGCCAACACAUAGUUUAGGUGUCGCAGUAGUACGCACUGUUGAUGGUGGCCUUCCUUUGUGGCGCUACUACUUUGCCACCUACUCUAAUGACAUGUACUUGCCAACAAUUAUGUAUAAUAAAUCAUGGCAUUAUAUGUAAAAAAAGAUAUAUUGUGUGUUCUGCUA